RNAcentral lists this transfer RNA (80 nucleotides) under Actinocatenispora rupis. RNAcentral describes it as "tRNA-Ala". Lineage: Bacteria; Bacillati; Actinomycetota; Actinomycetes; Micromonosporales; Micromonosporaceae. The record is from RNAcentral.
CGGCGUGGCCGCCGCGGACACGGUGCCGCUCGCGCUGGCGUUGACCGUCGCGGCCGGCGGUCGAUUCGCCGCCGCGCUGG